Molecule: ribosomal RNA, 450 nt
Filed under: uncultured bacterium
Lineage: Bacteria
Description: partial 16S ribosomal RNA
Rfam family: Bacterial small subunit ribosomal RNA
Source: RNAcentral
GUGGGGAAUUUUGGACAAUGGGCGCAAGCCUGAUCCAGCCAUGCCGCGUGCAGGAUGAAGGCCUUCGGGUUGUAAACUGCUUUUGUACGGAACGAAAAGACUCUGGUUAAUACCUGGGGUUCAUGACGGUACCGUAAGAAUAAGCACCUGCUAACUACGUGCCAGCAGCCGCGGUAAUACGUAGGGUGCGAGCGUUAAUCGGAAUUACUGGGCGUAAAGCGUGCGCAGGCGGUUAUAUAAGACAGAUGUGAAAUCCCCGGGCUCAACCUGGGAACUGCAUUUGUGACUGUAUGGCUAGAGUACGGCAGAGGGGGAUGGAAUUCCGCGUGUAGCAGUGAAAUGCGUAGAUAUGCGGAGGAACACCGAUGGCGAAGGCAAUCCCCUGGGCCUGUACUGACGCUCAUGCACGAAAGCGUGGGGAGCAAACAGGAUUAGAUACCCCAGUAGUCC